UAAUGGCUGUUUUGUUAACCUUAGUUAACAUUUUACACAGUUAUUUGCUCCUCACGUUGUCUUUCUUAAAAUUCAUACUAACAAAUUGUUGUCAUGCUUUUGAAAUCAAUCUUUUCAGUGCAAAGGCAGCGAGGGGUCAUUUGCAACAAGACGGCUGAUACUAAUAUGGGCCUAAAAUAAAGGACAAUAAUGGCAUCAGCCAUUCAAGUUAUGAUCCUGGCAGAUCUACUACUAUCUGAAAAGUAGUCUCUGCAGAUAUUGUCAAGAUGCACAAGAUGGAGUGUGGAGAGACAGGACAUGGACCACAGUUUUUCAGCACCCACACACCACACUCAAAUUCAUAUAGAAGUUCUCAAUUAUUAAAUGUUAAUAUGAUAGUUUAUAUUUAGCUGUGAAGUUAUAGUUCAUUGUCAUAAAUAUUAAACUACAUAUUAUUAUUAUUUUACAUGAUAUGCAAAUUUCACCAAUUUGUUCAAUGUGUUAAUGAACUUUUUGAAAGUGAUUAUCUUUAAUAAUUCAGAUACCUGUUGAAAUGCACAUGUAAUUAUAUACUUGCUCGUAUCUGGAAGGUUGUGUUAAUAAAAAUGAUGUUGAAAGCAAAUGUUGCAAUACUGCUAAUCUUAAAAUAACAUUUUAUUAAACUAAACUUUGUAAUGUUCCAAAUAAAUGUUUUUAGGAUGUUGUAUUUUUAAGAAAAUGUAGGUGGAAAUAAAGUUGUAGGAACAUUAUGCUAACCAUAAAAUAACGUUCUAGCUACGUUAAGCAAACUGGACAUUUUAACGUUCUUGGAAUGUUCCAAAUAAACGUUCAUAGAACGUUAUGUUUUUAGUGAAAUUUAGGUUGCAAGAACGUUGUAGGAACGUUAUGCUAACAAAAAAAUAACGUUCUAGGAACGUUAAGCAAACUGGACAUUUUAACGUUCUUGGAAUGUUCCAAAUAAACGUUCAUAGAACGUUAUUUUUUUAGUGAAUUUUAGGUUGCAAGAACGUUGUAGGAACGUUAUGCUAACCAUCAAAUAACGUUCUAGCAACGUAACGCAAACUGGACAUUUCCACAUUUUUGGAACAUUCCAAAUAACGUUCCCACAACCAAAACAGAACGUUACAAAAACGUUCUCAGAACAUAAAUUUGUUAGCUGGGAUGAACUAACAAUGAAUGAUUGUAUUUUUAUUAACUAACGUUAACAAAGAGGAAUAAAUACUGUAAUAAAUGCAUUGUUCAUUGUUUGUUCAUGUUAGUUAAUACAUUAACUAAUGUUAACAAAUGACCCAUUAUUCUAAAGUGUUACCCAUUUUAGUUCAGUCUCGUCUUGUUAAUGAAGACGCGGCAUAAAUUUCAUCAUAGUUUUUAUCAUCAGACAUUAAUUUUAGCUUGUCAACGUCUCGUCUUAGUCACAGAAAAAAGGUUCGUUGACGAAUAUUUUUCGUCUUAGUCUUCGUCGACGAAAUUAACACUGUACUACACUUUCUUGAACAGAACAUUUAUUUUAUCAUUAUUUAUUUAUUUAAUUUUUUUACUGCUUUAAGAUGUUUUACGCUUCUUAAUUCUAAGUUCAUGUUAAAUGUAACAAUUUUUUCAGUGACUGACAGACAGACCUAUACAGAAUGUUAUUCAACCUUGAAAUGUGAUCUUGUAUGCACAAAGAAAGUUAUUGAAAUUUGUUAAGGUUUUUGAAAUUAAUCUGUUAUUUGAAUUUCAGUUUAAUUUUUCAAAUUUAUUCAAAAUAUCGUGAUACAUAUCGUAUCGUGAACCCA
Onychostoma macrolepis is the source of this 1754-nucleotide long non-coding RNA. RefSeq lists it as uncharacterized. Lineage: Eukaryota; Metazoa; Chordata; Actinopteri; Cypriniformes; Cyprinidae. The record is from RefSeq and is a predicted model, not a curated record. The transcript is spliced from 3 exons.